RNAcentral lists this ribosomal RNA (403 nucleotides) under bacterium. RNAcentral describes it as "partial 16S ribosomal RNA". It matches the Rfam family "Bacterial small subunit ribosomal RNA", at positions 355 to 776 of the family's 1533-position model. RNAcentral also lists the same sequence under 1 other name. The record is from RNAcentral.
UGGGGAAUAUUGCACAAUGGAGGGAACUCUGAUGCAGCGACGCCGCGUGAACGAAGAAGGCUUUCGAGUCGUAAAGUUCUUUUAUAUGGGAAGAUAAUGACGGUACCAUAAGAAAAAGCCCCGGCUAACUACGUGCCAGCAGCCGCGGUAAUACGUAGGGGGCUAGCGUUGUCCGGAAUCACUGGGCGUAAAGGGUUCGCAGGCGGAAAUGCAAGUCAGGUGUAAAAGGCAGUAGCUUAACUACUGUAAGCAUUUGAAACUGCAUAUCUUGAGAAGAGUAGAGGUAAGUGGAAUUUUUAGUGUAGCAGUGAAAUGCGUAGAUAUUAAAAAGAAUACCGGUGGCGAAGGCGACUUACUGGGCUCAUUCUGACGCUGAGGAACGAAAGCGUGGGUAGCAAACAGG